RNAcentral lists this unclassified non-coding RNA (405 nucleotides) under soil metagenome. RNAcentral describes it as "partial contains 5.8S ribosomal RNA, internal transcribed spacer 2, and large subunit ribosomal RNA". The stretch from base 1 to 121 matches the Rfam family "5.8S ribosomal RNA", at positions 35 to 154 of the family's 154-position model. The record is from RNAcentral.
GAUGAAGAACGUAGCGAAAUGCGAUAAGUAAUGUGAAUUGCAGAAUUCAGUGAAUCAUCGAAUCUUAGAACGCACCUUGCGCCCUUUGGACAUUCCGAAGGGCAUGCCUGUUUGAGUAUCAUGAACACCUCAACUCUCACGGCUUGUCCGUGAUGAGCUUGGACUUUGGGGGUCUUGCCGGCCUGUGGUCGGCUCCUCUCAAAUGGAUCAGCUUGCCAGUGUUUGGUGGCAUCACAGGUGUGAUAACUAUCUGCGCUUGUGGUUUUCCAUCAGAUAACCUUCAGUGAUAUGGAGGUUCGCUGGAGCUCACAAAUGUCUCUCCUUAGUGAGGACAGCUCUUUGAACGUUUGAUCUCAAAUCAGGUAGGACUACCCGCUGAACUUAAGCAUAUCAAUAAGCGGAGGA